UUCCUUUGGGGCGUUGUAGACUGAAGGGGCGCUAUCUUGCAUGGCCCGGGGAUAGGUCCGUUGGAACACGGCAUCAUAGAGGGUGAGAAUCCCGUCUUUGACUCGGGGUAAGGCCCAUGCAUGUACGUUGCGCUUCCAAAGAGUCGGGUUGUUUGGGAAUGCAGCCCAAAAGGGGUGGUAAACUUCAUCUAAGGCUAAAUAUGGGCACGAGACCGAUAGCGAACAAGUACCAUGAGGGAAAGAUGAAAAGCACUUUGAAAAGAGAGUCAAAAAGUACGUGAAACCGUUAAGAGGGAAACGAAUGGGGCUAGCAUUUGUACGUUGGCCACAAUCAGCCAGACGWCCCUGAGGCGGCCAYGGCGGGAUGAAAUUCUUAGAGGGAGCCUCACGAGUAUGCCGUCAAAAGCAAAGGCGAGGGGCCCCACGUCRUGGUUCAUGUAUGGCCUUGGGKUCGGCUGGUGCACUUGUGGCCGGUAACAGGCCAACAUCAGUUCGGCGCCCACACAUUUUGGACAGGAACCUUCUGGGGGAAGGUGGUUGCGGUUAGCCUCUCGAGGCGUCGCAACGUUAUAACCCCCUGUGGGAGAACAAAAGAGUCGCGGGCUGGACUGAGGAGAUAAAGCAGCACGCCACCUUGUAGAGUUUCCGCUGGGAUGCCGGGCGGUUCGGAAACUGGGCCAAAAGCGCAGUGCCGGGCGCCUCAAACGCAAAAAGGGUGUCUCACCAUGAGCCACGGGAACCUACACAUUUAAACGUGCUUGUGAUGUUGGCGAAAUGGCUUCAUCCGACCCGUCUUGAAACACGGACCAAGGAGUCUAACAUAUGCGCGAGUCUUUUGGGUGGAAAGCCCGCAGGCACAAUGAAAGUGAAGGCGCACUUGGUGCGCAAACAAACAUGUGAGGUGAGAGGUGGAUGGCCCGACGGCCCCAAAAAAGCCGACGGGUCGAGACCGCAUCAUCGACCGAUCCGGAUGGGAGUUCCCUGAAAGAUUUGAGUAAGAGCGCAUCUGUUGGGACCCGAAAGAUGGUGAACUAUGCCUGAACAGGGUGAAGUCUGAGGAAACUCAGAUGGAAGCUCGUAGCGAUUCUGACGUGCAAAUCGAUCGUCUGAUUUGGGUAUAGGGGCGAAAGACUAAUCGAACCAUCUAGUAGCUGGUUCCCUCCGAAGUUUCCCUCAGGAUAGCUGGAACUAAGGACCAAAGCAGUUUUAUCAGGUAAAGCGAAUGAUUAGAGGGCUUGGGGUUGAAAUAACCUCAACCUAUUCUCAAACUUUAAAUAGGUAAGAAGUCUGGCUUGCUUGACUGAAGCCAGACACUGUGUCGAAUGCAAAGUUCCAAGUGGGCCAUUUUUGGUAAGCAGAACUGGCGAUGCGGGAUGAACCGAACGCGAAGUUAAAGUGCCAAAGUUCACGCUCACCUAGAACCCAGAAAAGGUGUUGGCUGAUGAAGACAGCAGGACGGUGGCCAUGGAAGUCGGAACCCGCCAAGGAGUGUGUAACAACUCACCUGCCGAAUCAGCCAGCCCUGAAAAUGGAUGGCGCUCAAGCGUGACACUCAUACUUCGCCGUUGCCGCAAAAGGAAACAAUGACAUGAUAGGCGGCAACGAGUAGGAGGGCGUGGAGGUGGUGAAGCAGCUUAGGGCGUGAGCCUGAGUGAAACUUCC
Molecule: ribosomal RNA, 1662 nt
Filed under: Enterobryus cf. euryuri ONT-3-W6
Lineage: Eukaryota; Ichthyosporea; Ichthyophonida; Eccrinaceae
Description: eukaryotic LSU rRNA
Rfam family: Eukaryotic large subunit ribosomal RNA
Source: RNAcentral